Molecule: transfer RNA, 78 nt
Filed under: Pseudolabrys sp.
Lineage: Bacteria; Pseudomonadati; Pseudomonadota; Alphaproteobacteria; Hyphomicrobiales; Xanthobacteraceae
Also listed under: 1 other name
Description: tRNA-Pro
Rfam family: tRNA
About the family: Transfer RNA (tRNA) molecules are approximately 80 nucleotides in length. Their secondary structure includes four short double-helical elements and three loops (D, anti-codon, and T loops).
Source: RNAcentral
CGGGGCGUGGCGCAGCCUGGUUAGCGCGCUUGUCUGGGAGACAAGAGGUCGUGGGUUCAAAUCCCGCCGCCCCGACCA